RNAcentral lists this ribosomal RNA (253 nucleotides) under uncultured bacterium. RNAcentral describes it as "partial 16S ribosomal RNA". It matches the Rfam family "Bacterial small subunit ribosomal RNA", at positions 524 to 776 of the family's 1533-position model. The record is from RNAcentral.
UACGUAGGCAGCAAGCGUUGUUCGGAAUUACUGGGCGUAAAGAGUGUGUAGGCGGUGCUCUAAGUUCGGUGUGAAAUCUCCCGGCUCAACUGGGAGGGUGCGCCGGAUACUGAGGGGCUAGAGUGUGGGAGAGGAAAGUGGAAUUCCUGGUGUAGCGGUGAAAUGCGUAGAUAUCAGGAGGAACACCGGUGGUGUAAACGGCUUUCUGGACCAUAACUGACGCUGAGGCACGAAAGCGUGGGUAGCAAACAGG